RNAcentral lists this transfer RNA (76 nucleotides) under Caldilineaceae bacterium. RNAcentral describes it as "tRNA-Arg". It matches the Rfam family "tRNA". From Rfam's summary of the family: Transfer RNA (tRNA) molecules are approximately 80 nucleotides in length. Their secondary structure includes four short double-helical elements and three loops (D, anti-codon, and T loops). Further hydrogen bonds mediate the characteristic L-shaped molecular structure. tRNAs have two regions of fundamental functional importance: the anti-codon, which is responsible for specific mRNA codon recognition, and the 3' end, to which the tRNAs corresponding amino acid is attached (by aminoacyl-tRNA synthetases). tRNAs cope with the degeneracy of the genetic code in two manners: having more than one tRNA (with a specific anti-codon) for a particular amino acid; and 'wobble' base-pairing, i.e. permitting non-standard base-pairing at the 3rd anti-codon position. The record is from RNAcentral. Lineage: Bacteria; Bacillati; Chloroflexota; Caldilineae; Caldilineales; Caldilineaceae.
GCCCGCAUAGCUCAGAGGAUAGAGCAAGCGCGUCCUAAGCGUUUGGUCGUAGGUUCGACUCCUACUGCGGGCGCCA